Molecule: ribosomal RNA, 1264 nt
Filed under: Leifsonia sp. HPABA04
Lineage: Bacteria; Bacillati; Actinomycetota; Actinomycetes; Micrococcales; Microbacteriaceae
Description: bacterial SSU rRNA
Rfam family: Bacterial small subunit ribosomal RNA
Source: RNAcentral
UGAGUAACACGUGAGUAACCUGCCCUUGACUCUGGGAUAACCUCCGGAAACGGAAGCUAAUACCGGAUACGACGUACGGAGGCAUCUCCUGUACGUGGAAAGAACUUCGGUCAAGGAUGGACUCGCGGCCUAUCAGGUAGUUGGUGAGGUAACGGCUCACCAAGCCUACGACGGGUAGCCGGCCUGAGAGGGUGACCGGCCACACUGGGACUGAGACACGGCCCAGACUCCUACGGGAGGCAGCAGUGGGGAAUAUUGCACAAUGGGCGCAAGCCUGAUGCAGCAACGCCGCGUGAGGGAUGACGGCCUUCGGGUUGUAAACCUCUUUUAGUAGGGAAGAAGCGAAAGUGACGGUACCUGCAGAAAAAGCACCGGCUAACUACGUGCCAGCAGCCGCGGUAAUACGUAGGGUGCGAGCGUUGUCCGGAAUUAUUGGGCGUAAAGAGCUCGUAGGCGGUCUGUCGCGUCUGCUGUGAAAACCCGAGGCUCAACCUCGGGCCUGCAGUGGGUACGGGCAGACUAGAGUGCGGUAGGGGAGAAUGGAAUUCCUGGUGUAGCGGUGGAAUGCGCAGAUAUCAGGAGGAACACCGAUGGCGAAGGCAGUUCUCUGGGCCGUAACUGACGCUGAGGAGCGAAAGCGUGGGGAGCGAACAGGAUUAGAUACCCUGGUAGUCCACGCCGUAAACGUUGGGCGCUAGAUGUGGGGACCAUUCCACGGUUUCCGUGUCGCAGCUAACGCAUUAAGCGCCCCGCCUGGGGAGUACGGCCGCAAGGCUAAAACUCAAAGGAAUUGACGGGGGCCCGCACAAGCGGCGGAGCAUGCGGAUUAAUUCGAUGCAACGCGAAGAACCUUACCAAGGCUUGACAUACACGAGAACGCCCUAGAAAUAGGGAACUCUUUGGACACUCGUGAACAGGUGGUGCAUGGUUGUCGUCAGCUCGUGUCGUGAGAUGUUGGGUUAAGUCCCGCAACGAGCGCAACCCUCGUUCUAUGUUGCCAGCGCGUAAUGGCGGGAACUCAUAGGAGACUGCCGGGGUCAACUCGGAGGAAGGUGGGGAUGACGUCAAAUCAUCAUGCCCCUUAUGUCUUGGGCUUCACGCAUGCUACAAUGGCCGGUACAAAGGGCUGCAAUACCGUAAGGUGGAGCGAAUCCCAAAAAGCCGGUCUCAGUUCGGAUUGAGGUCUGCAACUCGACCUCAUGAAGUCGGAGUCGCUAGUAAUCGCAGAUCAGCAACGCUGCGGUGAAUACGUUCCCGGGCCUUG